UAUCUGUGCUUGUAGGAUUGUUUGACUUGCUUCCUGUGCAAGUUAGGAUAGUUUGACUUGCUUCCUGUGCAAGUUAGGAUAGUUUGACUUGCUUCCUGUGCAAGUUAGGAUUAGUUUAGACUUGCUUCCUGUGCAAGUUAGGUUUUGCUUGGCUUGCUUCCUGUGCAAGUUAAGUGUGUGUGGGGUGCUUCCUGUGUGAGCCAUACUUAGGAUAGGUUGGCCCUUGUGCCAUUUAGCUAGAAACCAUAACUUAGGGUUGAUUUUGCAUGACAACAUCUAGGCUCGAGUCGUAGUCUCCCUAG
This 302-nucleotide long non-coding RNA is filed under the name Lathyrus oleraceus (garden pea). RNAcentral's name for it is "Pisum sativum (pea) long non-coding RNA (PSAT_LNC034620)". The record is from RNAcentral. Lineage: Eukaryota; Viridiplantae; Streptophyta; Magnoliopsida; Fabales; Fabaceae.